Molecule: ribosomal RNA, 644 nt
Filed under: uncultured marine eukaryote
Lineage: Eukaryota
Description: SSU rRNA
Rfam family: Eukaryotic small subunit ribosomal RNA
Source: RNAcentral
UGAGGUUAAAAAGCUCGUAGUUGGAUCUCGGCGGACUGAGGGCGGUUUGCUUGCUAGUAUUACUGCCCUAUAGUCCGUAGUUUUGCCAGAGGUUUCGGGGUGCUCUUAAUCGAGUGUCCCGGGAUGCUGGCAGGUUUACUUUGAAAAAAUUAGAGUGCUCAAAGCAGGCUAUUACGCCUGAAUAUUCGUGCAUGGAAUAAUAGAAUAGGAAGUCGUUUCUAUUUUGUUGGUUUUCGGAAAUCGACUUAAUGAUUAAUAGGGGCAGUCGGGGGCAUUUGUAUUCAAACGACAGAGGUGAAAUUCUUGGACCGUUUGAAGACAAACUACUGCGAAAGCAUUUGCCAAGAAUGUUUUCAUUAAUCAAGAACGAAAGUUAAAGGUUCGAAGGCGAUUAGAUACCGCCCUAGUUUUAACCAUAAACGAUGCCAGCUAGCGAUCUGCGGACGUUUUUUUUGUAGACUCCGCAGGAAGCUUCCGGGAAACCAAAGCAUUUGGGUUCCAGGGGAAGUAUGGUUGCAAAGCUGAAACUUAAAGGAAUUGACGGAAGGGCACCACCAGGAGUGGAGCCUGUGGCUUAAUUUGACUCAACACGGGAAAUCUCACCAGGCCCGGACACUGGAAGGAUUGACAGAUUGAUAGCUCUU